RNAcentral lists this ribosomal RNA (631 nucleotides) under Bacillus altitudinis. Its description in RNAcentral is "bacterial SSU rRNA". It matches the Rfam family "Bacterial small subunit ribosomal RNA", at positions 156 to 773 of the family's 1533-position model. Lineage: Bacteria; Bacillati; Bacillota; Bacilli; Caryophanales; Bacillaceae. The record is from RNAcentral.
ACCGGAGCUAAUACCGGAUAGUUCCUUGAACCGCAUGGUUCAAGGAUGAAAGACGGUUUCGGCUGUCACUUACAGAUGGACCCGCGGCGCAUUAGCUAGUUGGUGAGGUAACGGCUCACCAAGGCGACGAUGCGUAGCCGACCUGAGAGGGUGAUCGGCCACACUGGGACUGAGACACGGCCCAGACUCCUACGGGAGGCAGCAGUAGGGAAUCUUCCGCAAUGGACGAAAGUCUGACGGAGCAACGCCGCGUGAGUGAUGAAGGUUUUCGGAUCGUAAAGCUCUGUUGUUAGGGAAGAACAAGUGCAAGAGUAACUGCUUGCACCUUGACGGUACCUAACCAGAAAGCCACGGCUAACUACGUGCCAGCAGCCGCGGUAAUACGUAGGUGGCAAGCGUUGUCCGGAAUUAUUGGGCGUAAAGGGCUCGCAGGCGGUUUCUUAAGUCUGAUGUGAAAGCCCCCGGCUCAACCGGGGAGGGUCAUUGGAAACUGGGAAACUUGAGUGCAGAAGAGGAGAGUGGAAUUCCACGUGUAGCGGUGAAAUGCGUAGAGAUGUGGAGGAACACCAGUGGCGAAGGCGACUCUCUGGUCUGUAACUGACGCUGAGGAGCGAAAGCGUGGGGAGCGAAC